Molecule: long non-coding RNA, 2690 nt
Filed under: Mytilus galloprovincialis (Mediterranean mussel)
Lineage: Eukaryota; Metazoa; Mollusca; Bivalvia; Mytilida; Mytilidae
Source: RNAcentral
AUUUUCUUCAUGAAUUUAAGAUUUUCUCCGAUCAAUUUUCUGGUAUUUGAGAUGUUAUAGAUAAGGAUCUAUAAUUCUGUAACUGUUUGAUCAAAUUUUUUGAAACUUUGCACAAUAACUACUGAGAUGUAUAUCUUUAUUUUAAAAGUGCAGUUUUAAGUCUGGGAAAAAAAAUAAAGUCUGACAGGAAUAGGAUCCCAGUUAGGGCAACCAGUCCGGUACCCACGAAUGUAGUUCUUAAAAAAAAUAUAUAACUUUUGUUAUAAAUUGUGUAGUGUUAUUAUUUCACUAGUUCUGUAACUGAAUGUAGUUUUAUUUGAAAGGGUAGGCUUUCUAGUUUGAAUUUCUGUAAAAAUUUUGAUUGAUUUAAAUGUAAUCUGGCGUCAGUACAUAGAGUAAAUUGCCUAAAUUCUAGCCUUUAUUCUUUCCCGGAAGUAGACAGACUGACCCUGUUGUCAAUAAAAACAAAAUUUUGCAACGGAAUGCCGGUCAUGAGGCACUGAGAUUGCACUUAGACACUUCUAAAUGAAUGCCUAACAUGAACCAGAAGUCCCAAGGUGGCUAUCAAAAUUAUUUAUUGAACAGGACCCUAUGUAUUUACUAUGAUUUUCAAUGCGUUCCAAUGGGGCAAAUAAUUGGGUCCCCGUUCCAUAUAGUAGUUUGACAAACACCAAUUCUGAUCAUUGAGAAGCUUAAUAUUCCUUUCACAACACAAUGUAAUUAAAACAUUUAGCUGACUUUACUGAGUUAUCUCCCUGUAGUGUUAGGUACCACCUUAAGAGCCAGAAUCUUAUGCCUGAUAAAUUAAUGUAUUAGAGAUGUUGGAAAGAUCAUUUUGAAAAUCAAAUAAAAUGUUCUAUUUUUACUUUUUGUAACUUUAUCCUGUAGCUAAUGGUCACACUUUUUGCUUUGAUAAAAACAUCACCCUAAAUUCUAAAUAUACAAAAUAUAACAAACUGCAGAAAAAGUACCCUUUAUAGAAUGAGUGAUAAUAAGAUCCAUUAUUAUUCACAAAUUGUACAUAUGAUUCUGGUUUUGUGACCUAAGUGUGCCCAGAGGUGGAUUUAUGGAGCUUCAUAUAUGGUUACUAUGCCUAAUCUUUUAACUAGUCCAACUCAAAACAUUGCCUUUUGGUGGCAUUUGUGUUUAUAAUAACUUUCACAAUGAACUUUCAAGAUCCAACUACUCAAAAUUCAUUACUUAGAAAGUGGAAGUACAAUAGGUAUAUGGUUAAACUGGGGAAUUGGUGUAAAUCAAUAAAACCAAGCACAGAUUUUGCUCAAAUUGUGUCAUCUAAAAAUUUUAAGCCAAAAUAAACCUAAGCAGCAUCCUGAGCAAUAAUCAAGUAGAAUUGCAUCUCAAUAGUAAUCUAUACAUGUCAAUUGAACUCUCCAUAAACCAAAAAUUGGUAUGGUCUGAGGAAGAGGUAAAAUACAAUUUUUGACUAAAUAAGAAUUGGUAUACAUCGUUGGAUACCAAUUUUUGUAGAUACAUGUGAUCAAAAAAUUCAAAUGUUCAACGAAGAACAAAUUUUCAAUAAGUUUUGAAUGCAAAGAUUGGCAAAACCAUGUAAUCAAAUAUCCAUGAAAAUGCAAGUUUUCCUCUAUCAACAAAUAUUGAUUCAAAAAAAUAUAAAUGAAUCUGCAGUAGGCGUUUGUCCACUCCUGUACAAAUUGACAAAAUGAUGUAAAACCAUGGUUUGUUUAUAAUACAAUGACAUAUUUAUUUCCAACUAAUCAAUUCCCAAACAGUUGGAUAUAUUUUAGUUGUCUAAGGAAUCUUUGUACACUAAUAAUUCAACUUCACAGAAAUAAAAUAUCACAAAACAGGAAUGUGUCCCCAGUACAUGGAUGCCCCACUCACACUAUCAUUUUCUAUGUUCAGUGGACCGUGAAAUUGGGGUCAGAACUCUAAUUUGACAUUAAAAAUUAGAAAGAUCAUAUCAUAAGGAACAUAUAUACUAAGUUUCAGGUUGAUUGGACUUCAACUUCAUCAAAAACUACCUCGACCAAAACAUUAACCUGAAACUGGAUAGAUGAACGAACAAACGGACCAACGGACCCACAGACCAGAAAACAUAAUGCCCCUCUACUGUUGUAGGUGAGGCAUAAAAACAACAGAUCACAGAAUCAAUCUAACAACAUGGCAUUUUUCCUUAGAGGGUGGUCAAUCAUUUUGGAGCUUGACAAGGUUAUCAUAUAAUAAUGGUUAAAAGUUGGAUUUCCAUGUAAUGAUUAAUGGGGAGAUAACCCUAGGUUAAGGGAGAUAACUCUCUAAAAUCAUUUUUUUUUUCAAUAUGUUUGUGUUAACCAUUUUUGUAGAUUAAAUGCAUUCUUAGCUUUUAUAUUGUAGAUCACUCAAAUGCUUUUUAAAAGCAAUUAUGAAACAGAUCAUUAAAGAUCCUUAGAUGUAUCUCUCUCCCUUGAACUGUGUCUACCCCCUCCCCUUUUUAAAAGAACAAACAACUUUUAAUCAAUAAUAAUAGCAGUCAUUAAAAAAUUGAAAAACUGGAUUAACAAAUAACCAUAGUGUAGAAGAUAACAAUUGAAAUACACCAUACUGUGUGUACAUCUUUUACAAUUUAUAUAUUUACCAACUAUCAUUAAUAUAUUGCCAAUGGUAAGUUUAUACAAAAUUUAAUUUUAUCAUAAUCUUAUUGAAAGCGUCUGGUUCUAAAAUCAGUAAUUCUC